This 906-nucleotide ribosomal RNA is filed under the name Triticum aestivum (bread wheat). RNAcentral's name for it is "partial small subunit ribosomal RNA". Lineage: Eukaryota; Viridiplantae; Streptophyta; Magnoliopsida; Poales; Poaceae. The record is from RNAcentral.
AUGAAUGAGCCAGAAUUGCAAGGUCCUGAUUACGCAGUAACAACUGAUAUAGAUGGCCCAAGUGGAAGUGACGAGUCAGAGUUUGAAACGGAGCAACAAGAAUAUGAAGCAGCACAUAUGAAAAACUCUAAUCUUGAUAGUAGUGAUGAGUUGCCAGAUUUAGACCAAGAAGAUGAAAGCAUGCAUGAAUCAGGUGACCAGGACAUUGAGCACCAACAGGAUGAGACCCAGAAUAAAUCAAACAAAGAUAAGAAAAAAUUAUCUCAAGAAGAUAUUGAAUUUUUCCUCGAGAACGAGGUUAUAGAGAAAGCAUUGAAACUCAGCCAAGAAGAUGAAAAAAGUCACAUGCCAACGAUAAGCAUGACAUUUGAAAGUGAAGCUGAUGCACAUAGAUUCUACAAUGAAUACACAACUAUUGCAGGGUUUUCUAUACAGAAAGCUGCAAACUACCACUGCCAAAAGAAAGAUGCUCACAGUAACAAAGUAACGAGAAUUACUUUGAAGUGCAACAGGUCUGGUAAACCUAGAAACAGGACAAAGCCGACAGGAGCAGGAGCAAAAAGGAGAAAGCACAAAGGUGAUAAAAAUGCACCCACCAUCCUUGAGAAUACGACGGAUAGGAGAAGGAAUUAUACAAUCAAAACAGGGUGUCAGGCUCAAAUGGUUGUUACCUGGAAAUUCGAGCUUGAGCAAUGGGUGAUCACAAGGCUGAUCAUUCAGCACAAUCAUGAACUGGAUCCGCCAGGCGAAGUCAGGUUCCUGAAAUCACACAAGUAUAUAACUAAACAAGAAAAGGACUUGAUCAGGACAUGCAAAAGAGUGAAUAUACCAACUAGGAAGAUAACGGCAAUCAUGUCAUUCUUCCGGGGAAGGGGUCUGUCUUCACUGCCUUACACCCCAAAAUAG